GAGCGGAAAGGCCCUUCGGGGUACUCGAGCGGCGAACGGGUGAGUAACACGUGUAGCAACCNNUGCCCCUGGCUCUGGGUAUAGCCUCCGGAAACGGGGAUUAAUACCGGAUAUGACUGCUCCCUGCAUGGGGGGUGGUGGAAAGUUUUUCGGCUGGGGCGGGGCUCGCGGCCUAUCAGCUUGUUGGGGGGGUGACGGCCCACCAAGGCGACGACGGGUAGCCGGCCUGAGAGGGCGACCGGCCACACUGGGACUGAGACACGGCCCAGACUCCUGCGGGAGGCAGCAGUGGGGAAUAUUGCGCAAUGGGCGGAAGCCUGACGCAGCGACGCCGCGUGGGGGAUGAAGGCCUUCGGGUUGUAAACCUCUUUCACCAGGGACGAAGCUAGGGUGACGGUACCUGGGGAAGAAGCGCCGGCUAACUACGUGCCAGCAGCCGCGGUAAA
This 446-nucleotide ribosomal RNA is filed under the name uncultured bacterium. RNAcentral describes it as "bacterial SSU rRNA". It matches the Rfam family "Bacterial small subunit ribosomal RNA", at positions 64 to 524 of the family's 1533-position model. The record is from RNAcentral.